Molecule: ribosomal RNA, 441 nt
Filed under: uncultured bacterium
Lineage: Bacteria
Description: partial 16S ribosomal RNA
Rfam family: Bacterial small subunit ribosomal RNA
Source: RNAcentral
CCUACGGGAGGCAGCAGUGGGGGAUAUUGCACAAUGGGGGGAACACUGAUGCAGCGACGCCGCGUGGGUGAAGGAGCGUUUCGGCGCGUAAAGCCCUAUUGGCAGGGAAGAAGGAGGACGGUACCUGACUAAGAAGCCCCGGCUUACUACGUGCCAGCAGCCGCGGUAAUACGUAGGGGGCAAGCGUUAUCCGGAUUUACUGGGUGUAAAGGGGGCGCAGACGGCAGCGCAAGCCAGGAGUGAAAGCCCGGGGCCCAACCCCGGGACUGCUGUUGGAACUGGGCGGCUGGAGUGCAGGAGGGGCAGGCGGAAGUCCUGGUGUAGCGGUGAAAUGCGUAGAUAUCAGGAGGAACACCGAUGGCGAAGGCGGCCUGCUGGACUGCGACUGACGUUGAGGCCCGAAAGUGUGGGGAGCGAACAGGAUUAGAUACCCGAGUAGUC